UAGAUAAAAAUAGAAAACAUUGUGAACUAAAAGUCGGAGAUUCUGUAUAUGUAGAAAACGGAAAUAGGCUAAAUCGAAAAAAACUGCAUGAAUUGAAAAUAGGACCAUAUCAAAUUAUAGACAAAAUUUCAAAUUCAAUUUACAAAGUAAAUACGGGUCACAAAAAGUUAGAGUCGAAUUAUUUUCAUAUUACAAAGCUUAUUCCAGUAGUAGAAUAAAACAAGCAAACCUUUUAAAUUUCAUUUAUUCGAUUCGGGGGGGGAGAUGUAAAUGAAGUUCUCAUGUGAGACUUCCUUUAAAAUUGGCUGUCAAUUGUCAUUACUUACUCUGUGGGUGUUUGUACACUAUGGUUUGACAUUACUCUAUAAUUAAAAAGAUCACUUGCUGCGUCACGUGCGACUAAGAAAUAAGGAGGUUAUACCAAUUGAAUUAAAAUUGUAAAACAAUAGCUUUAAAUGUUGUUUCUCUCUUUCAGAGCAACACGCUUCUAUUGUUUUUCUUUUCAUCAUCAGGUAGUCAUUACCACCUAAAUUAAAUAAGAACAUUAUA
Colias croceus (clouded yellow) is the source of this 549-nucleotide long non-coding RNA. RefSeq lists it as uncharacterized. The record is from RefSeq and is a predicted model, not a curated record. Lineage: Eukaryota; Metazoa; Arthropoda; Insecta; Lepidoptera; Pieridae. The transcript has 2 exons.